Molecule: unclassified non-coding RNA, 209 nt
Filed under: soil metagenome
Description: partial contains 5.8S ribosomal RNA, internal transcribed spacer 2, and large subunit ribosomal RNA
Source: RNAcentral
AACCUAGCACACCUGCGGUGUGUACCUGCGGAGGGAUCAUUACCGAGUUUACAACUCCCAAACCCCUGUGAACAUACCUAUACGUUGCCUCGGCGGAUCAGCCCGCGCCCUGUAAAACGGGACGGCCCGCCCGAGGACCCUAAACUCUGUUUUUAGUGGAACUUCUGAGUAAAACAAACAAAUAAAUCAAAACUUUUAGCAACGGAUCU